This 845-nucleotide ribosomal RNA is filed under the name Planctomycete enrichment culture clone Cb3. RNAcentral describes it as "bacterial SSU rRNA". It matches the Rfam family "Bacterial small subunit ribosomal RNA", at positions 580 to 1419 of the family's 1533-position model. The record is from RNAcentral. Lineage: Bacteria; Pseudomonadati; Planctomycetota; Planctomycetia; Planctomycetales.
CUUGUAGGUAUCUUGUGAAAUCCCACGGCUUAACCGUGGAACUGCAGGGUAAACCACAAGUCUUGAGACAUGUAGGGGUCAGUGGAACCAUGAGUGGAGCGGUGAAAUGCGUAGAUAUUCAUGGGAACGCCAAUGGCGAAGGCAGCUGACUGGGCAUGUUCUGACGCUCAGGUACGAAAGCGUGGGUAGCGAACGGGAUUAGAUACCCCGGUAGUCCACGCCGUAAACGAUGCACACUAGGUCGUGGGAUCUCUCAUGAUUUCGCGGCCGAAGGUAAACUGAUUAGUGUGCCGCCUGGGGAGUACGGUCGCAAGGCUAAAACUCAAAGGAAUUGACGGGGGCUCACACAAGCGGUGGAGCAUGUUGCUUAAUUCGAGGCAACGCGAAGAACCUUACCUGGGCUUGACAUGUAUGGAUUAGCUUAUGGAAACAUAAGUGACGCCCUUGGGUGGAACAUACACAGGUGCUGCAUGGCUGUCGUCAGCUCGUGCUGUGAAGUGUCGGGUUAAGUCCCUUAACGAGCGCAACCCCUAUCGUUAGUUACUAACGCGUUAUGGCGAGGACUCUAGCGAGACUGCCGGUGUCAAACCAGAGGAAGGUGGGGAUGACGUCAAGUCCUCAUGGCCUUUAUGCCCGGGGAUGCAAACGUGCUACAAUGGUACGGACAAAGCGAUGCAAUACCGCGAGGUGGAGCAAAUCGCAAAACCGUGCCCCAGUUCGGAUAGCACGCUGAAAUUCGCCUGCUUGAAGCCGGAAUCGCUAGUAAUCGCGUAUCAGCUACGACGCGGUGAAUACGUUCCUGAGCCUUGUACACACCGCCCGUCACGUCAUGGAAGCUGCUAGUG